This 72-nucleotide transfer RNA is filed under the name Bacillota bacterium. Its description in RNAcentral is "tRNA-Val". It matches the Rfam family "tRNA". Rfam says of the family: Transfer RNA (tRNA) molecules are approximately 80 nucleotides in length. Their secondary structure includes four short double-helical elements and three loops (D, anti-codon, and T loops). The record is from RNAcentral. Lineage: Bacteria; Bacillati; Bacillota.
GCGGCGGUAGCUCAGCGGGAGAGCACCACCCUGACACGGUGGGGGUCACAGGUUCGAUCCCUGUUCGCCGCA